CUUGGUGCCUGUGCACUCCUCCUGGUGGCCCCAUGAGCAGCAACAAUAAUCCAGCACCUGACACAGCCUGAAAGGCUGGCCCUGCUGUACUUCACACACUCGGUGUAAGGAAGAGACUCUUUACUGGGAGUGGUGAGGCUCUGGAACAAGGUGCUGUCCCAGAGGUGAUGGCUCCACAUCCCUGGAAGUGUCCAAAGCCAGGCUGGACAGGGCUCAGAGCAACCUGGGGUGGUGGAAGGUGUCCCUGCCCAUGGCAGGGGUGGAAUGAGAUGACCCUUAGAAGUCAACUCAGAGCAUUUCAGAAGAUGCACCCCUUUAACAGAGGAAGAACAACACAGGAUGUGGACUCCUACGAUCCAUCGCAGCACUGCCUGAAUAUAAAUAUCUGUGACAGGCUGCACAAGGAUGCUUUAAUGGCAGUUGUCAGAGACAUUUAAAAUGGAUUAGACCCUCUCAGUUUUUUUUCCUCUAAUAAUGAAUAUUUAGUGAGACUUUUAAAGCUGUUAGCUAUUAAUUAUAGAACCUAAAAAUAUGAUGGUGUUCAGUCAAGUAGGAAUCAGCACAUGACUGUAUGCAGAAGUAUGUUCUCUGUCUAGCUUUUUGUGACAUGGCUUACUACUUUACAUUUGCUUUAUAAAUACAAGAAAUUAUUUUUUAAUGAUGACAGCUGGUGAUGAAGCAGACUUGCCCUUGAAAGUUGUAAGCAGGCUGGGAAUAUUAACACUGAGGAGGUAAAAGGAGAGAUUAAUAGAUAAAUGUCCUGAUACUUAAAUAAUGUAUGAUAAAAUUAGAUUACCAUAAAUUUAGUUCCAUUGUAGAUAAUGGUAUUGUUCUGAGGCUAGAAAUCCAAGUGUGGCAAUGGAAGGUUAAUGCUUGCAUUAACAGAAAUGCAGCCCAUUGUCCUUUGCUGGUGUUGUUGCUGCUUUCUGCAGAUAAGAAAUCGCCUUUCUCUUUAAAUUAGUUUAUACUACCAAGGGUUACUUUUGCAUAUUGGAAAUAAAUAGGGUUAUAUUUAUACA
RNAcentral lists this long non-coding RNA (1019 nucleotides) under Cyanistes caeruleus (blue tit). Its description in RNAcentral is "lncRNA (ENSCCEG00000021431.1)". The record is from RNAcentral. Lineage: Eukaryota; Metazoa; Chordata; Aves; Passeriformes; Paridae.